UGAAAUCUGGCCCUCGGGUCCGAGUUGUAAUUUGCAGAGGAUGCUUUUGGUGAGGUGCCUUCCGAGUUCCCUGGAACGGGACGCCAUAGAGGGUGAGAGCCCCGUCUGGUUGGACACCGAGCCUCUGUAAAGCUCCUUCGACGAGUCGAGUAGUUUGGGAAUGCUGCUCUAAAUGGGAGGUAUAUGUCUUCUAAAGCUAAAUAUUGGCCAGAGACCGAUAGCGCACAAGUAGAGUGAUCGAAAGAUGAAAAGCACUUUGAAAAGAGGGUUAAAUAGUACGUGAAAUUGUUGAAAGGGAAGCGCUUGUGACCAGACUUGAGCCCGGUUAAUCAUCCAGCCUUCUGGCUGGUGCACUUGGCCGGCUCAGGCCAGCAUCAGUUCGGCGUGGGGGAUAAAGGCUUCGGGAAUGUGGCUCCUCCGGGAGUGUUAUAGCCCGUUGCGUAAUACCCUGUACUGGACUGAGGUUCGCGCAUCUGCAAGGAU
This 483-nucleotide ribosomal RNA is filed under the name Fusarium melanochlorum. RNAcentral's name for it is "eukaryotic LSU rRNA". It matches the Rfam family "Eukaryotic large subunit ribosomal RNA", at positions 116 to 624 of the family's 3401-position model. Lineage: Eukaryota; Fungi; Ascomycota; Sordariomycetes; Hypocreales; Nectriaceae. The record is from RNAcentral.